This 2256-nucleotide long non-coding RNA is filed under the name Arachis ipaensis. RNAcentral's name for it is "long non-coding RNA (AIPA_LNC000828)". The record is from RNAcentral. Lineage: Eukaryota; Viridiplantae; Streptophyta; Magnoliopsida; Fabales; Fabaceae.
UUAAUGAAAGUCAUCAAAAGAGAAAAUAUUUUGUUCGUGACUUCAAUUUAGGCUGUAUUUUUAAAUCCAAAAAUUAGAAGACAUGAUGAAGAUUGCAACAAAGAUAACAUUUGUGAUGAUUCUUCUUGCUUUAGUAGCCACCAAUGGUAUUUUUUUUUAUCUUUUUUUUUCUUUCGAUAUCUAAAUUAUUGUAUUACCAAAGAUCAAUUAAUCUUGUUUACAACUGUGAUCGUCUCCCUUAAAAUAUAAUAUAACAUGUGUUUAUACUUUCUUUUUUUGCCUCUAAAAAGAUACUUCUAUAUAAAUUUUAGAAAAUGUACAUACGAUUUUUAAAAAAUGAUUAUUUUAAUCAGAACAAAAUAAGAUACCUUUAGUUAAACUAACCAACUUUUUGUUAAAAAAAAAUAAUCCAAAUUAGUACUUAAUUACAACUGAUGAACAAAUUAGUCACAAUUUAUUACUAACAAAUUUGAGAUCUUGAAUUAUAUUAUUACCAAACCCUCUAAUCCUCUUGACCCUUUUCUAAAAAAAACAUAAUAUUUAAAUAAGGUAGGUUGAUAAAGUUUGAUUAUUUUAUUCUCGUCAACAUUACGUCAUUGAUUAUUUUCUUAAUUAAUUAACAUUUAAUUCUAAUAUAUCAAGAGAUAUUUUACCUACUGCAUUUUUUUUUAGAAAAAAUUGAUCUAAACCAACAAUUAAUUAUAACUGCAUAAAUAAAUCAUAAUUAAUUACCAACAAAUUUGAGAUCAUGCAUUAUAUUUUUACCAAAUCCCCUAGCCAUCUUGGUGCCUUUAAAAAAAAAACUAUGUAAGUAAAGUAAUCAAAUUGAAAAAAUUAUGAUUUUAUUUUAGUCAACAUUACACCAUUGACUUUUCUCUUGGUUAAUUAAGAUUUUAGUCUAUCAAAAGAUAUUUUACCAAUUAUAUUUCUUUUUACCUAAAGAAUAUUACAAAUAAAUCAAAUCUAAAGUAGUUAUUAUUAUUAUUAUUAUUAUUAUUAUUAUUAUUAUUAUUUUUAACUAGUUUUUCAAUUUUCAAGUAAUUAUCACUUUAUUUAUAUGUACACAUAAUGAGAGAAUAUGGUCAACUUUAAUUUGUUUGUCACAAACUAAGAAUAGAAAGAAUUAAUUAAAAAAGAUCCAAAACUAAGUAUUUUAUGAAUAUAUUAUAAGUUAUUAUUAACUUUCGACAUUAAUCCAAUUCAAUAAAUAUGCAUGACAAGGCCUUGAUGGUGAAGAUCAAAAGAAAAUAUUUUGCUUGUGACUUUAACUUAGACCGUAUUUUUAAAUCCAAAAAAUUAGAAGUCAUGGUGAAGAUUGCAACAAAGAUAGCAUUUGUAAUGAUCCUUCUCGCUUUAGUAGUCACCAAUGGUAUUUUCUUUUUCAUCUCAUAUUUUCUUUUGAUAUCUAAAUUAUUGUAUUAUCAAAAACUAAUUAAUCUUGUUUAUAAUUGCCAUGGUCUCCCUUAAUAUAAAUUUUAAUUAUGUUACUUAAAUAUCAAAAGCUAAAAUAUAGUCCACAAAAAAGAGUCUAUUCUAGCAGUACAUGUUUAAACUAACUCAAUUUUAGUUGAUAUAACAUAUUUGUACUUUUUUUUUCUUUUUUUUUUUCCUCUAAAAAUAUAUUUUUCUAUAAAUUUUAGAAAAUUUACAUACGGCUUUUAAACAAUGAUGUUUUUAAUUAGAACAAAAAAUGACACUUUUAGUCAAACUAAAAAUGUGAAUUUUUUCAAAAAAAUAUAUAACGGAAUUUAAUAAAAUAUUUAUUUAAAACAUCAUCUAUUAAAAAUAAUAUUAAUUUCUAAUGAAAACCUUUUAAAACCAAUCCAGGCACAUUUAUUUUUUUUCUUCUUCCUCAAUGUAUGUGUUCAUUAAAAUAUUAUAAAUUGUUUAUGAUAAUCAAACUAUAUUAGUAAUGAUUAUCUUUUUUUUUUUAAUCUCUUUGUAGGGUUUGGUCUCCGAAAAAUACCAAGAAAGGUGGUGCCUCAAAGAGAUUGUCGUAAUGAUUGUAUACCUUUUAUAUUUAUUUGUCAUCCGAAAGUUCCUACGUGUGUGAAUGGAAAUUGUGUGUGUAUAGGGUUAGACAAUAAUAAUUCAAGCACAAAACAAGAACGCCACAAUAAUAUAGAUGGUGAAAAAUCAAAAUUAUUAGGCUAGUAUAUGCAUACCAUUAUUAUGAAUGCUUAUCUGCGGCUUGUGAUUUAUAGAUGGUAUGAAAUAAAUAAAAAUGCUAUAUAUUUACUAAAAAUUAGUCACCGA